CCAGACUCCUACGGGAGGCAGCAGUGGGGAAUAUUGCACAAUGGGGGAAACCCUGAUGCAGCAACGCCGCGUGAGUGAAGAAGUAUUUCGGUAUGUAAAGCUCUAUCAGCAGGGAAGAAAAUGACAGUACCUGACUAAGAAGCCCCGGCUAACUACGUGCCAGCAGCCGCGGUAAUACGUAGGGGGCAAGCGUUAUCCGGAUUUACUGGGGGUAAAGGGGGCGCAGACGGCGAUGCAAGCCAGGAGUGAAAGCCCGGGGCCCAACCCCGGGACUGCUCUUGGAACUGCGUGGCUGGAGUGCAGGAGGGGCAGGCGGAAUUCCUGGUGUAGCGGUGAAAUGCGUAGAUAUUAGGAGGAACACCGGUGGCGAAGGCGGCUUACUGGACUGUAACUGACGUUGAGGCUCGAAAGCGUGGGGAGCAAACAGGAUUAGAUACCCGCGUAU
Molecule: ribosomal RNA, 445 nt
Filed under: uncultured bacterium
Lineage: Bacteria
Description: bacterial SSU rRNA
Rfam family: Bacterial small subunit ribosomal RNA
Source: RNAcentral